CGGGAUUUCAGAUAUUUUAGCACGACUUUGUGAAAUGCCUUUGGCGGUGGAUAAAAAUCUUGUUUAAAUUUAUUGUCUUCAGCACCUUGAAAAAUCGUUAUCAUUGCUACUUGAUGCUACUGUAAUUGAGGCUCUUACUUCAUAUAUUGUACAGGACAGCUUCGUUCCUCUAUGAAUUACCAAAGUUUGAUCAAGAUUAAAAUGUGUGGGUUUUUAGGAGAACGAAACAACCUACACAGUUAUAAUCAACAUUAUCGAUUCCUUACCUUGUUUACAUUUCCUCGCGGACAGGUUCCAGUUGUAUAAAUGUUUUUCAUCAAGAAACGAAUGGGUCGAGCUUAGAUCUAAAAUAUCAAAGAAAAUGUGCUACCACAAGAUUUCCACUCAAAAUAACGAAAAUAAAAACGUUUUUGUACCCAGAAAACAAGAUUCAUGCAACUAAUUCAUCAUGAAGUAUCACGUGCGGUUUUGAAGUGUUAAAGUUUAUUUCAUUCCUGAUGAAUGUUUUUUGCGCUUUCAAAAAUUAAUGAUUUUAUAGUCCAGCAAAGGGCAUGUAUUUGCCGAUAAAAGCUAAAAGUAAAGAGACAUGGUUUAGAUAACGAGUAAUAAAUACAUUUCACGAUGAAAAAGUUCUCAUUCGUGGGUGGUUUUGAGUGACUUUUGUCUGCUUGAAACGUAAACAGGGUAAGAGGUCUAUUGUGCAUGGAAUGGUCCUCUUACACAAUAUAAAAAAUUAUGGCGUUAUUAAGUCUUAUAACAUUCUCAAAGCAACACUGAAAAAGAACUGUCUUCCUUCAUAUAUUAAAUAAAAUAACAUUCUUGCCACAUUAGAAGACAAUGACUGUAAGUUAGAAAGAAUUAUGUUACACAGUUGUUCAUAUAGUACAUUUGGGUAGUUAGUAAAAUAAAGUAAAUAAAUGAAACAAAAGGAUGAAGAAAAGAGCCCCAAUUUUGACAAUGAGGUUUUUCUAAUUAUCAAUACAUCAUGGAAAAGUUAAAAACAUGCAAUUUAGUCGAAUCCAAUAAGCCAGUUCGACAUUUUGAUUGUGUAUCCAAAUGACGUGUUCUGAGUUGGGAAUAAAUGAACACAUAAAAUCUAGCUGAGACUAGACUUUUCUUUUCUUUUUUAAUAUUCAAUGACUAAUAUUCUACAUAAAAGAAACAAUGAAACUGUAUAUUUAAUUCAUUUCCUAUAAUAAACUUUAUUGACUGUUUUUCUGUCUAAAGCCAAAAAAUGAAAGUGUUCUUUCGGGAAUAUUUUUGUAACAGUGAAGCAAGUCAAUCGUCUAAAAACUUUUUCUUUUUCUAAAAAAAAUAUUUCCGUAAUUAAAACAUCAAAACUUAAUCUGGAACUGUUUGUGUCACUGAAGGUAGCGACGAUAACAAGACAACUGUGGAUUGAGGGGGAUAUAACUACCUGAAAAAUACAAGCAGAACUUCGAUGUUAUAUCCUUUUGUAUCCUUCUCAAUCCACAGCUUCUCAUUAAAGCUUAAGCCUGUUUUUCACUUCACCAUAUCGUAACGUACUGUAGAGCAUUUUCUUUUCUGUUGAACUUAUUAGUUACUCAGAAUAACAAAAAUAUACAGCUACGCUUUAGUACGAUAUACGGUUAAAGUGAAAAACAUAAUUUAGUUUUAAAAUAUUUACCCGACUCAGUUGGAUGCGCAGUAUUGUUAUGCCAAACUGGCUUAUUGGAAUUUAGUAAAAAAUAUUGUAAUUGUUGCUUUGCCAGUUUGGGCAAAGCUUCAACGCGAAGUUUGAAGAAGCUUUCAAUACUGGGAUAAACAUAUGGACUUAAAAACAUUGUGCUAUAAAACCACAAGAAAUAUUAUGACCGUCUCGAAAUUAGACUGUGAGUGAUUUACUUGGACAAAAGCUGCAAUGUUGUCAUCGUUGAAAGUUAGUAUACGUUGGCUUUUACGAGCCGUUGCUGUAUAUAUUACUAUUUCAUCAUUUGUGAGAUUAAUACGCGGUAUAUGUGUAUUGGUGAUUCAUGCAGCUGGAUUUGAAAAUUUCUGAUCAUAAUCAUGCAACUGAUAUACUGGAAUAAUAAUGGUAAUGGUAUCUUCCAUAAGCUUGUUGUAGUUUGUUUGUGUGGAAGUAAUAGUGAACAAUGAAUAUGGUUACUUGAAUACGUCGUACUGUACUGUAAAGUCAAAAAGAAAUUGAUGAGCAGGUCGAAAGAUCGUGAGCACGAUUCGUGAGUCGUUUAGAUAAAAGCGUGUAGUGUUGACAUCAUUGAAAAUCUACGCCUUUACGAAAAGUUCCUGUAUCGUGUCAUUAUACAACGGAUAUGGUAAUGACGUGCGUGAUAUAUAUUUGUUGAAUGAUAUGCAAAAUAAUGGAUUUUAAAGCUUGUGAUGACAAUGUGAAUUAUAUACGUGAAUAAUGGAGUUGAUCUUCUGUGAAAAAUGAUUAUUUAUGAAAGCCAAACAAUACACAAGAUUACUUAAAAACAUUGUGCUGUAAAGCCACAAGAAAUACCUGCGCUAAGACACUAUCGUCUCGAAAGAUCCUGUUGUCAUUGUUGAAAUUAUUCGCGUUUUACGAAUCGUUCCUGUAUCCGUCGGUUGCAUCUACCACCUUUGAUGCGUUCAUGUAGAUACAUUGGUACGUGUAGCAUAAUGCGUGACAUAUAUUUGUUGAAGAUUCGAUUGGAUAAUUAACGUCAACAACGUGCAUGACAUGCGUGCGAGGAAUGGUAAUGUUUACUUUCCACAAGCUAUGGUAUACUUGGUAUGAUUUUUGAACAUUGCGGUGCAUCAUUUGUUGAACAUUUGAACACAAACAAUAAACAAUAUGUUAAGUAUGAAAGUAAAGUCAUUCAUAUCGAAGAAUAAAAACGAAAGUGGUGUUGUUGAAUGAAAGGAGCAGUAAUGAGCGGUCGGUUCCGAAAUUAUGGUAAAAGACGUUAAGACUUUGAAACAGAUUUCGCGCUUGAGAACAUCCAGAGGCGUGGAACCUAGGAACGGUUUGAACUAUAUUAUUUGACUUGGUCUCACUUAGGAUCGCAAGACUACGGAUUUGGUGUUCCUGUAUGUAAGCCAGUGAACUGUUACAUUAUGUUGACAUUUACAGAUAUUAAUGCUUACGAGUAUAAGCAUUUCAUAAUUCUUGGCAGGAGUAAAUAUUUGGGAAGAACGUUUUCUCGAAGUAUAACGCUCACAAGUCAUGGUGUGGUUAAAUUUAGGAACACGUACACAACCUGUAGACUAUAUCGAACUAUGUAUACUGCGUAUUUCAUACAAUUUAGAAAACAAAGAAGAACAACGAAGACUGAACAAUAAUGACCUUUAGAUACUUAGAAUUAGUUCUAGCAUAAUAUUGCUUGUAGAUUAGAAUAAUUAUCGGUUGUGAAUAUUUUUCAAGAAUGG
This 3375-nucleotide long non-coding RNA is filed under the name Paramuricea clavata. Lineage: Eukaryota; Metazoa; Cnidaria; Anthozoa; Malacalcyonacea; Plexauridae. The record is from RNAcentral.